UCGAGGGGCAGCAUGGUCUUAGCUUGCUAAGGCCGAUGGCGACCGGCGCACGGGUGAGUAACACGUAUCCAACCUGCCGUCUACUCUUGGACAGCCUUCUGAAAGGAAGAUUAAUACAAGAUGGCAUCAUGAGUCCGCAUGUUCACAUGAUUAAAGGUAUUCCGGUAGACGAUGGGGAUGCGUUCCAUUAGAUAGUAGGCGGGGUAACGGCCCACCUAGUCUUCGAUGGAUAGGGGUUCUGAGAGGAAGGUCCCCCACAUUGGAACUGAGACACGGUCCAAACUCCUACGGGAGGCAGCAGUGAGGAAUAUUGGUCAAUGGGCGAGAGCCUGAACCAGCCAAGUAGCGUGAAGGAUGACUGCCCUAUGGGUUGUAAACUUCUUUUAUAAAGGAAUAAAGUCGGGUAUGGAUACCCGUUUGCAUGUACUUUAUGAAUAAGGAUCGGCUAACUCCGUGCCAGCAGCCGCGGUAAUACGGAGGAUUCGAGCGUUAUCCGGAUUUAUUGGGUUUAAAGGGAGCGUAGAUGGAUGUUUAAGUCAGUUGUGAAAGUUUGCGGCUCAACCGUAAAAUUGCAGUUGAUACUGGAUAUCUUGAGUGCAGUUGAGGCAGGCGGAAUUCGUGGUGUAGCGGUGAAAUGCUUAGAUAUCACGAAGAACUCCGAUUGCGAAGGCAGCCUGCUAAGCUGCAACUGACAUUGAGGCUCGAAAGUGUGGGUAUCAAACAGGAUUAGAUACCCUGGUAGUCCACACGGUAAACGAUGAAUACUCGCUGUUUGC
Molecule: ribosomal RNA, 776 nt
Filed under: uncultured bacterium
Lineage: Bacteria
Description: bacterial SSU rRNA
Rfam family: Bacterial small subunit ribosomal RNA
Source: RNAcentral